GACGAACGCUGGCGGCGUGCCUAAUACAUGCAAGUCGAGCGAACAGACGCGGAGCUUGCUCCUCUGACGUUAGACGCGGAAGGGUGAGUAACAUGAGGAUAACCUACCUAUAAGACUGGGAUAACUUCGGGAAACCGGUGCUAAUUCCGGAUAAUAUCUUCAUCCGCAUGGUUGAAUAGUGACAGCCGGUUUUGCUGUACCUUAUAGAUGGAUCCGCGCCGCUUUAGCUGGUUGUUAAGGUAACGGCUUACCAAGGCAACCAUGCGUAGCCGACCUGUGGGGGGGGUCGGCGACACUGGAGCUGAGACGCGGUCCAGGCACCGAGAGAAGGCACCGGUACGGAAUCUUCCGCAAUGGGCGGAAGCCUGACGGAGCAGCGCCGCGUGAGUGAUGAAGGUCUUCGGAUCGUAAGACUCUCUUAUUGGGGAAAAACAAAUGUGUAAGUAGCUAUGCACGUCUUGACGGUACCUAAUCAGAAAGCCACGGCUAACUACGUG
This 497-nucleotide ribosomal RNA is filed under the name uncultured bacterium. RNAcentral's name for it is "partial 16S ribosomal RNA". It matches the Rfam family "Bacterial small subunit ribosomal RNA", at positions 28 to 507 of the family's 1533-position model. The record is from RNAcentral.